GAAGUCUUAGUAGCCGGUGCGAGUUUGAAGGAGUUUUUGACCUUAACAAGUUUUUCAGAAGCGACUAGUUUUUUGAGAUGGAGAAGAACAAGCUUACGGUAGGUUGGUGAUAACUCCUUGUGUUUCUCUUCGAUGAAUUUUGUUAUCGCGUAUUGGCUUGAUCCGGUUCGUUCUUUCAGGCUCACGAUUGCAUCAGUUAUCAUCUUCAGAUUCAAAAACAAAAUCAAAAACAGAAUUCAGAUUCAAAAGUUAGAAAAAAUGAGAAAAAUAAAGAAAAUGAAAUUGAAAUUGAGAUUUGU
Molecule: long non-coding RNA, 299 nt
Filed under: Trifolium pratense (red clover)
Lineage: Eukaryota; Viridiplantae; Streptophyta; Magnoliopsida; Fabales; Fabaceae
Description: long non-coding RNA (TPRA_LNC001188)
Source: RNAcentral